GAGUUUGAUCCUGGCUCAGAUUGAACGCUGGCGGCAUGCCUAACACAUGCAAGUCGAACGGGGUAGCAAUACCCAGUGGCGGACGGGUGAGGAAUACGUAGGAAUCUGCCCUUAAGUGGGGGAUAGUCCGGGGAAACUCGGUUUAAUACCGCAUGAUCUCGCAAGAGCAAAGCAGGGGGACCGCAAGGCCUUGCGCUUUUGGAGGAGCCUACGUCGGAUUAGCUAGUUGGUAGGGUAAUGGCCUACCAAGGCGACGAUCCGUAGCUGGUCUGAGAGGACGAUCAGCCACACCGGAACUGAGACACGGUCCGGACUCCUACGGGAGGCAGCAGUGGGGAAUAUUGGACAAUGGGCGAAAGCCUGAUCCAGCAAUGCCGCGUGUGUGAAGAAGGCCUU
Molecule: ribosomal RNA, 396 nt
Filed under: uncultured Gammaproteobacteria bacterium
Lineage: Bacteria; Pseudomonadati; Pseudomonadota; Gammaproteobacteria
Description: bacterial SSU rRNA
Rfam family: Bacterial small subunit ribosomal RNA
Source: RNAcentral